Molecule: ribosomal RNA, 255 nt
Filed under: uncultured bacterium
Lineage: Bacteria
Description: partial 16S ribosomal RNA
Rfam family: Bacterial small subunit ribosomal RNA
Source: RNAcentral
CAUACCGAAAGGUAUGCUAAUACGAGAUAAUAUGCUUUUAUCGCAUGGUAGAAGUAUCAAAGCUCCGGCAGUACAGGAUGGACCCGCGUCUGAUUAGCUAGUUGGUGAUGUAACGGCUCACCAAGGCGACGAUCAGUAGCCGACCUGAGAGGGUGAUCGGCCACAUUGGAACUGAGACACGGUCCAAACUCCUACGGGAGGCAGCAGUGGGGAAUAUUGCACAAGGGGCGAAAGCCUGAUGCAGCAACGCCGCGU